RNAcentral lists this ribosomal RNA (259 nucleotides) under uncultured bacterium. RNAcentral's name for it is "partial 16S ribosomal RNA". It matches the Rfam family "Bacterial small subunit ribosomal RNA", at positions 96 to 354 of the family's 1533-position model. The record is from RNAcentral.
UGGCGGACGGGUGAGUAACGCGUGGGUAACCUGCCUUACACAGGGGGAUAACACCUGGAAACAGGUGCUAAUACCGCAUAAGCGCACAGGGCCGCAUGGCCCGGUCGUGAAAAACUCCGGUGGUGUAAGAUGGACCCGCGUCUGAUUAGCUUGUUGGCGGGGUAGAGGCCCACCAAGGCGACGAUCAGUAGCCGGCCUGAGAGGGUGGACGGCCACAUUGGGACUGAGACACGGCCCAAACUCCUACGGAAGGCAGCAG